Molecule: ribosomal RNA, 439 nt
Filed under: uncultured bacterium
Lineage: Bacteria
Description: partial 16S ribosomal RNA
Rfam family: Bacterial small subunit ribosomal RNA
Source: RNAcentral
CUACGGGGGGCGGCAGUGAGGAAUAUUGCACAAUGGGGGGAACCCUGAUGCAGCAACGCCGCGUGGAGGAUGGCGCAUUUCGGUGCGUAAACUCCUUUUAUAUGUCAAGAAAAUGACGGUAGCAUAUGAAUAAGCACCGGCUAACUCCGUGCCAGCAGCCGCGGUAAUACGGAGGGUGCAAGCGUUACUCGGAAUCACUGGGCGUAAAGGACGCGUAGGCGGGCUUGUAAGUCAGGAGUGAAAUCCUACAGCUUAACUGUAGAACUGCACUUGAAACUACGAGCCUAGAGUAUGGGAGGGGCAGACGGAAUUAGUGGUGUAGGGGUAAAAUCCGUAGAUAUCACUAGGAAUACCUAAAGCGAAGGCGAUCUGCUGGAACAUAACUGACGCUAAGGCGUGAAAGCGUGGGGAGCAAACAGGAUUAGAUACCCUUGUAGUC